GGUUCCUAUCGGUCGACGGGCUGUGGGUGUAUUGCUCAGUGACGGCUUCGUUUAGUUUCUCCCAGCACCCAUAAUUCAAAGCAAGAACAACGACAUUAUGGGGAGAAAACGUCCUUUUGUGAAACAGAAGGCAAUCCACACCAUUAGUAAACCCCAUCAAUUUUGCCUUCAGAAUAUAUCCAGAUUCUUCCCAAUUCUACCGCCACCAUUCUGGUUCAAGCUACCUGGAGUCUCAAGAGGGGAAGUGCAAUAGGAUCAGAAAGAAUGUUUGAAGAAAUAAUGGUUGAAAAACUCCCAAAUUUGAUGAAAGAGGUGAAUCUACAUAUCCAAGAAGCUCAAUGAACUCUAAAGAGACCCACACUGAGACGUGUUAUAGUCAAACUGUCAAAAGCCAAAGACAAUGAAAACAACAAGAGAGAAACAACUCAUCACAUACAAGAGAGCCUUAAUAAAAUUACUAGCUGAUUUCUUAUAAAAAACCAUGGAGACCAGAAAAUAAGAAUGUCGAUCAAGAAUUCUAUAUCUGACAAAACUAUUCCUAAAGAAAUUCUCAGAUAAACAAAAGCUACAGAAUUUACUAGUAGACCUGCCCUACAAGAAAUGCUAAAGAGAAUCUCUCAGAUUGAAAUUAAAGGACAUCAGACAGUAACUUGAAGCCAUAUGAAAAAAUAAAGAGCAAUUGUGAAAAAUCUGUCUUUGUUUUUCUAUUCUGUGGCUAGCUCUGUGUUCCCCUUACCAUUCUUUCUGCCUUAAUUUCAUUUACUUUGAGAGCAGUAAUUAUGGCAAACAAACAACAAAAACAACCAGUAGUAGGAGGUAGAAGACAUAUAGAAAUGGUUCCCAAUCAUUUUAAAACUGUGGAUGUAAGGCCAAAUUACUUAAUGUUUAGAAGCCUCAGUUUUCAUAUAAAAUGAAGAGAAUAGUCUGACUCUCACAAGUUGUUAAGAUUAAGAGCAGUUUUGACUGCUAUUAAUUGAAGGAAUUCUCAGAAUAAGGCAUAUUGCUAACAUUUACAGAAAGAUGGUUUUGCAAAGAAAAUUAUCUAUAUAAUGCUGUCCUCUGUCUCUUCCAGCAAUUUGAGUCAGAAUACCUCUAGUUAACAGACAUACCUCUAGAGUAGACCUUAGAUGAACAUAUAAGUAAAUAAUGGCAUAAUGAUCAUCAUAAUCCCAGUAACAUUAGCAGCAACCAAUAUAUACUAUUUAUCAUAUGUCAUGUUAUUCUAGUAAGGUAGGUAUACUAAUAUUCCCAUAUUUAAGAGGAGGAAGCUGAAGCACAGUGAAGUUAAGUGACUUGUCCAAUAUUACACAACUUGUAAGCAGCAGAGUUUUAACUUAGGCAGUAUGAAUCCAAAGACUGUACUUUUCACCACCACAUUAUGCGGCAUCUGUUUCCUCUGUCAAGUACAAGGAACUAGAUUAUAUGGGAUUGUUAUGACUGGCCUGCGUGGUCAGAGUUUGAUAUUGGUCUAUGAGGAACAACAAAGAAUAACACAAAUCAUGGAAGGAGGGAAUUACCCUAAGGCAAAAAGCCAUAAGCAGAUUUAUCCUGUCUUCUGCCACUAUUUCUCAGGCAUUUACAGAGUUGUACUGGGAAAGGAAGGAAUAAAAAGACACUUAAGAGGUUGCUUAAAAUUUUUUUUGAGUUUUGUUAUCAGGUCUAGACUAGAACAUUAUUUUGCUUCUGUGGUUCAGGGUCAACAAAAUAACCCAAUAUUCUAUAACAAAAUAGCCUCUAUCUUAAUUUCCCUUAUCCAGUUAUAGGGAAAUGGGUCCUGGUGGCUCUAACAUGUUUUAAGUUUGUUAAAAGUUUAUUCAUUUAGGCCGGGCGCGGUGGCUCACGCCUGUAAUCCCAGCACU
RNAcentral lists this long non-coding RNA (1859 nucleotides) under Homo sapiens (human). RNAcentral describes it as "HSALNT0334774". The record is from RNAcentral. Lineage: Eukaryota; Metazoa; Chordata; Mammalia; Primates; Hominidae.